Molecule: long non-coding RNA, 606 nt
Filed under: Anas platyrhynchos platyrhynchos (common mallard)
Lineage: Eukaryota; Metazoa; Chordata; Aves; Anseriformes; Anatidae
Description: lncRNA (ENSAPLG00000029095.1)
Source: RNAcentral
CCAGGAUGCUAAAUCAGAAUGCUUACUCCCAAACAUAAUGCUUUCUGCCAAGAUUAGACAUAUGAUUUCAACUUACAGGGUCAGGUUAGUAAGCUAUCAUCAAUAAAGGACUACAACACCCUGACUUCAAGGACCAGAUGGCAAAAUAGAGAAAAGUUUGGAAGAUCAUGAUUACUCACCACCAAAAAUUAUGAGAUAUUUUUGGUCAAUGGUGAAAGCAGAAGGGAAAACAUCUGUUCCAGCGAGUCCUGCAUCUGCUAUGAGAGCGGUUGGGUCUGUCAGCCUCAGACAGUGUACAAACCUGACCUCGGGAAGUACCUUCUGUCCCAUGUCCUCACAGAGAUGCUGUCAAAGGCACGAGUGUGCUGUGGAAUUCACUACUACAGCUUCUAAGAAAGAGAUCACCCAUCCACAGACUCACUUUUUAUACUUGGAAACACUUGCCAACAUCUGGUCAACUCAUAUCUAAUUCAACUUACUCAAAGGCUGGUCUGCAGUGAAUUGAGAAAUUUUAUAUUAAAAAGAGGAGUCACAUCACAGAUCAACGUCUGUUUCUAUAAUUCUGUGUGGAGGAGUUAGAAAAAUAAAGUUCAGUACUAGAAAGCA